This is a long non-coding RNA of Myxocyprinus asiaticus (Chinese sucker), 2207 nucleotides long. RefSeq lists it as uncharacterized. The record is from RefSeq and is a predicted model, not a curated record. Lineage: Eukaryota; Metazoa; Chordata; Actinopteri; Cypriniformes; Catostomidae. The transcript has 2 exons.
AUACGAAAAGCAGAUGUUUCCGGGGGGACACAGACACAGCAGUGGUGCACUGAUUGUAAAGGCCUUCAAAUGAAUGGCCACCUGUUAGAGAGCGCUGUUUUUGUUCCUGAAGUGCUCUGCUCAUUUGCAGUUGUGACAUUGCUUACUAAGUUGGUCAUGACAGCACAACAGACAGAAUGAUGUCCACCAGACUACUGACACUGCUUCACCCACAUCCUGCUGAGAAGAGUCUACCACAAAUCUGCAAUGCCUUUUUCUCAAAUCUCAGAAGACCCCAUGAAAAUGUCACCAUAGGUCUCUGUCAGUCUGGAUCCUGCUUUAACAAAAGGGAUGACACCACUAUGGCAAGAGGUUUUUCAGCCUGACACCUGCUGAGAUUGUGAAUGCAGCCCCAGCGUCCGUUAAACCCUACCUCAGAUUUAUGAGACUGGACAAACCCAUAGGUGAGCUCUUAUGAAAUGCCUCCAAGCAGAGUACAAGAUCUAUUAUGUCCAGGAGGCAAAUUCAGCACAUGAUUACAUGCUUUGUUCAGUGAAUAUUUGGGGCAUGCUCCAUUUGUGGUAGAGGUCGACCGAUUAUGGAUUUUGCCAAUACCGAUAACUAAGGUGGUGGAAAAGGCAGAUAACUGAUUAAUAUGCCAACGCUUUUUAAGAUAUAUUUACAGAAUGUUAACAAUUUUCUUAGUGUUUCCUUACUGUGACGGGCACAGACACAGAGGCCAAAAGUGUCCAAAUUGAAUAAAAUCCCAAAUGCAGUUUAUUGUUCAACCAAAAUCCCAACAAUACCCAGGACAAAAUACAGAUUUGAAACAUAAUGUGGGACUUUUAACUUUAAAGCCUUAAACACACCAGGGACUCUUUAUGUUGAAAGGACAGAGACUUGGCCCCAUUAUAUUGCUCUUUAUUUAUGUACUUACCAAAUUAAGCCUUUUAUAGCCUAUAUAGUCACCAGAUGAAGUGUUCUGUAUACAUUUCACAACAUGAGGUUUAAUGAGGAAUCAUGUUUUUAUUAUUAUUAGGGCCCAAGCACUGAAAGUGUGGAGGCCCUAUUGUUCUUCUAAGGAUUAUUAUUAUUAUUUUUAUUAUUAUUAUUAUUAUUAUUAUUAUUAUUUUCAAGAUUUUCAGUACUUUUGGGGUACAUAAAAUGCAUGAAAACUCUUGAAAGUUUGCACACACAUCAGAGUCGCUGGCCAUUAGGGCGUGACAGAGUUACAGGUGGGGGGGUGCGGGAGGGGCUCUGCGGCGCCACCUAGAACAUGGGCAUGUUCGGGGGGCUAUGUAGCACAUCCCUUUUGAGCUACAGUCACCAAACUUUGUACACAUAUAGAUCUCAUCAAGCCGGACAACUUUCGCGCUGACAGUCAUAAGCUCUGCCCAAAAGGAAGUUGGCCAUUUUGGAUUGUUUGAAAAAUGCAUGCUCAGGAAUUUGAUAUACUCCUCCCAGGGAUUUCAUGUUACAGGUACCAAAUGUGGGCGACAUCAUGCCAAGACAUUGACGAUGCUAAAUUGUGAAAUUUAGGGCUUGCAAAGGGUGGUGCGAACUGCCAGACACAUCAUCGGAGUUGAGCUUCCCUCCCUCCAGGACAUAUAUACCAGACGGUGUGUGAAAAAAGCUCGGAGGAUUAUCAGAGACUCCAGCCACCCGAGCCAUGGGCUGUUCUCACUGCUACCAUCAGGUAGACGGUAUCGCAGCAUCAGGACCCGCACCAGCCGACUUCAUGAUAGCUUCUUCCCCCAAGCAAUCAGACUUUUGAACUCUUGAUCUCCCACGAUCAAAAUACAUCAGCCCUGCACUUUAUUACUCUUAUAUCUCACAUUGGACUGUCAUAAAUUAUAUUAUUAUUAUAUUAUAUUCUCUCUUAACAACUUACUAUCAACUGACAGCCUGAAUGUCAAUACAGUACAAUACAACCUACUGUACAUUCUAUAUAUACUACUAUAUAUACUUUUUUAUUUUUAUUGAAUAAUGUGUAUCUAUAUUGUGUGUAUUGUAUACUGUACAGUGUAUGUUAUUAUUUGUAUAUUGUUGUGUGUAAUUAUGUGUAUAUUAGACUUUAAAUUGUGUUGUGUUAAUUUGAUGUUAUUGUAAAUUGGUAUAUGUCUCAUCACUGUCACGUCUGCUAUGUUGAUCGGAACUGCACCCAAGAAUUACACACACCAUUGCACUUGUGUAUAUGGUUGUGUGACAAUAAAAGUGAUUUGAUUUGA